CCCUUAGAUGUCCUGGGCCGCACGCGCGUUACACUGAUGCAUUCAACGAGCUUAUAACCUUGGCCGACAGGCCCGGGCAAUCUUUGAACGCUGGUCGUGAUGGGGAUAGACUUUUGCAAUUUUUGGUCUUCAACGAGGAAUUCCUAGUAAACGCAAGUCAUCAACUUGCAUUGAUUACGUCCCUGCCCUUUGUACACACCGCCCGUCGCACCUACCGAUUGAAUGGUCCGGUGAAGCCUCCGGAUUGGCGCGCACCUCGGUGCCGCCGAGAAGUUGGCUAAACCUUACCAUUUAGAGGAAGGUGAAGUCGUAACA
RNAcentral lists this ribosomal RNA (315 nucleotides) under uncultured eukaryote. RNAcentral describes it as "partial 18S ribosomal RNA". It matches the Rfam family "Eukaryotic small subunit ribosomal RNA", at positions 1470 to 1796 of the family's 1831-position model. The record is from RNAcentral.